RNAcentral lists this ribosomal RNA (621 nucleotides) under uncultured bacterium. Its description in RNAcentral is "bacterial SSU rRNA". The stretch from base 1 to 521 matches the Rfam family "Bacterial small subunit ribosomal RNA", at positions 338 to 873 of the family's 1533-position model. The record is from RNAcentral.
CCUACGGGAGGCAGCAGUGGGGAAUAUUGGACAAUGGGCGCAAGCCUGAUCCAGCAAUGCCGCGUGAGUGAUGAAGGCCUUAGGGUCGUAAAGCUCUUUUACCAGGGAUGAUAAUGACAGUACCUGGAGAAUAAGCUCCGGCUAACUCCGUGCCAGCAGCCGCGGUAAUACGGAGGGAGCUAGCGUUGUUCGGAAUUACUGGGCGUAAAGCGUACGUAGGCGGUUAUUCAAGUCAGAGGUGAAAGCCCGGGGCUCAACCCCGGAACGGCCUUUGAAACUAGGUAGCUAGAAUCUUGGAGAGGUCAGUGGAAUUCCGAGUGUAGAGGUGAAAUUCGUAGAUAUUCGGAAGAACACCAGUGGCGAAGGCGACUGACUGGACAAGUAUUGACGCUGAGGUACGAAAGCGUGGGGAGCAAAACAGGAUUAGAUACCCUGGUAGUCCACGCCGUAAACGAUGAUAACUAGCUGUCCGGGCACUUGGUGCCUGGGUGGCGCNGACUACGACAUUAAGUUAUACCGUCCGUCGGGAGGUACGGUCGCGAGAAGUAAAACUAACAAAUAGAAGUUAGUAACGGUCGUGUUAGACGUGCCGAACGGACGACCGACGAGGGGAGGUUAGGG